GAGGCAAUACUGCGAAGUGGAGCAAAUCCCUAAAAGCCAUCUCAGUUCGGAUUGCAGGCUGCAACUCGCCUGCAUGAAGCUGAAAUUGCUAGUAAUCGCGGAUCAGCAUGCCGCGGUGAAUACGUUCCCGGGCCUUGUACACACCGCCCGUCACACCAUGAGGGUCGGGAACACCCGAAGUCCGUAGUCUAACCCGCAAGGGAGGGCGCGGCCGAAGGUGGGUCCGGUAAUUGGGGUGAAGUCGUAACAAGGUACC
Molecule: ribosomal RNA, 256 nt
Filed under: uncultured bacterium
Lineage: Bacteria
Description: partial 16S ribosomal RNA
Rfam family: Bacterial small subunit ribosomal RNA
Source: RNAcentral